CUCCUCUGCUUCUGGUCUCUCUCUCCCCCAAAAUAAAUCCUCUUAUUGCUGAGCCUUUAAGAUGCACCCAAAUCUUCACUGUGAUAAUCAGUGCCAUGAUGAAUAACCCUGCACAUAAAUACUUCAAGAUAAUCCUCAUUGGAUUAAAUUCCUAGAAGGAGGAAACAAAUCUUGAUUCUCAGAAGUAUUUCACACUUAAAACUCUUCAGCAACUAUCCCCACAGUAAGAGAGGCAAAAUAGAAUUCAAAAGGAAAAAUAAGCAAUGAACAGAAGACACGACUUUUCUUUCGUUUUUCUGAUCCAUUUAUUUAGGUUGUGAGAGCAAACUACAAUGAAGCUAUUCCUUCA
This is a long non-coding RNA of Suricata suricatta (meerkat), 349 nucleotides long. RefSeq lists it as uncharacterized. NCBI's taxonomy places the organism in Eukaryota, Metazoa, Chordata, Mammalia, Carnivora, Herpestidae. The transcript is spliced from 3 exons. The record is from RefSeq and is a predicted model, not a curated record.